RNAcentral lists this long non-coding RNA (920 nucleotides) under Calidris pygmaea (Spoon-billed sandpiper). Its description in RNAcentral is "lncRNA (ENSCPGG00000004898.1)". Lineage: Eukaryota; Metazoa; Chordata; Aves; Charadriiformes; Scolopacidae. The record is from RNAcentral.
AAGUGACUGAUCCAGCUGAAAAACAGAGUAGUGAAAUGAAACAAAGUAUUCCCCAUCUUUUACAUUUCUUACACCCCACACACCUCAGUCUUGUGUGUCCUCAUGGAAAAUUAAGAAAUCAUGAGAGGCUGGAUGAAGCAGCAAGUGGAGAUUUUAGGAGUGCAUCUACACACUGAUUUAGCAAACUGCAUAUGAAAGGAGGGAUGUAAACAGACUUUGACUGUGCCUAUAUGGAGAUCUUGGACCCUGUUAUGCCUUGUAUUGAUCUGGAGGUCAACCAGAACAUGCUUAUUCUGGAGCAGAACAAUAAGAUGGAGAUAACAGAACAGGUACCUGAUCCCUUGGCUGAGUAUAAACUGAUGUUCUUGAUGAUCUGGGAAAAAAGAAAAGGCCCGCUGAAGUUCUUGGCUUCUAUGAUGUCUUGUGGCAUUCAACUCUUUAAACUAAAUCUGUAUAAUGAAAGCAAAUUUUCCUUUUCAAGAGGCUGGAAAUGCAUUACUUCACUAAAAAGUACCUUUUUUGUGUGUGAUAUGGAGCAUACAAACUGAUCCGUUGGAACGCAAAAUUAUAACGUACAGAUUUAUGCAAGAGGGAUGACUGCAAAGUGCGUUGCAUGAGUAGUGUAAGAAGCUGAAAAUUGCUGCUGUUGUAGCUGUCAUAGACAUGUUAUUUUCUUUGGUAUGUGUGGAGUUUUUGCUGUCAGGCUUUUAUCCUGCAGAUUGUUUGUGCUGCACCUCUCUUCCUGCUUAAAAUAGAAAAUCAGUCACUGAACCUGGAUACUAUUAAGUGUUCUUAGAAUAGUUCUUAACUAACUUGGUUGAUUUGUGCUUUCUGAUGAAAGAACAUUUGGUUGUUUAUUGCAGGCUCUGAACAAACAUGUUCUUCCAAAAUCAACAAAUAAAAUUACAUAUUGCAUUGCA